GAAUAUGGGGGGACCAUCCUCCAAGGCUAAAUACUCCUGACUGACCGAUAGUGAACCAGUACCGUGAGGGAAAGGCGAAAAGAACCCCGGCGAGGGGAGUGAAAAAGAACCUGAAACCGUGUACGUACAAGCAGUGGGAGCCCCACCACCAAAGCGUUUCGCUUUGUGUGGUGCACAAAGAAGCGUAACGACAGCACUGAAUGACGGUUAACGGCGCGUAAGCGACGUUCAACACAAAAAUCAGGCAGUGGAGCGCUUUGGGGUGGGGUGACUGCGUACCUUUUGUAUAAUGGGUCAGCGACUUAUAUUCUGUAGCAAGGUUAACCGUAUAGGGGAGCCGAAGGGAAACCGAGUCUUAACUGGGCGUUAAGUUGCAGGGUAUAGACCCGAAACCCGGUGAUCUAGCCAUGGGCAGGUUGAAGGUUGGGUAACACUAACUGGAGGACCGAACCGACUAAUGUUGAAAAAUUAGCGGAUGACCUGUGGCUGGGGGUGAAAGGCCAAUCAAACCGGGAGAUAGCUGGUUCUCCCCGAAAGCUAUUUAGGUAGCGCCUCGUGAAUUCAUCUCCGGGGGUAGAGCACUGUUUCGGCCAGGGGGCCAUCCCGGCUUACCAACCCGAUGCAAACUGCGAAUACCGGAGAAUGUUAUCACGGGAGACACACGGCGGGUGCUAACGUCCGUCGUGAAGAGGGAAACAACCCAGACCGCCAGCUAAGGUCCCAAAGUCAUGGUUAAGUGGGAAACGAUGUGGGAAGGCCCAGACAGCCAGGAUGUUGGCUUAGAAGCAGCCAUCAUUUAAAGAAAGCGUAAUAGCUCACUGGUCGAGUCGGCCUGCGCGGAAGAUGUAACGGGGCUAAACCAUGCACCGAAGCUGCGGCAGCGAACGUAUCACUUAAAUCGAUUUACAGGCUUAACGAUUGACGGAGCGGAGCGACGUCAAAGCGUUUUACAAAGUCGAGUCGGUUUAAGGAUACGUUCGUUGGGUAGGGGAGCGUUCUGUAAGCCGUAGAAGGUGUGCUGUGAGGCAUGCUGGAGGUAUCAGAAGUGCGAAUGCUGACAUAAGUAACGAUAAAGCGGGUGAAAAGCCCGCUCGCCGGAAGACCAAGGGUUCCUGUCCAACGUUAAUCGGGGCAGGGUGAGUCGACCCCUAAGGCGAGGCCGAAAGGCGUAGUCGAUGGGAAACAGGUUAAUAUUCCUGUACUGUGUGUCACUGCGAAGGGGGGACGGAGAAGGCUAUGUUGGCCGGGCGACGGUUGUCCCGGUUUAAGCGUGUAGGUGUGUGCUCCAGGCAAAUCCGGUUCACUUUAACACUGAGGCGUGAUGACGAGGCACUACGGUGCUGAAGCAAUAAAUGCCCUGCUUCCAGGAAAAGCCUCUAAGCAUCAGGUGACACGUAAUCGUACCCCAAACCGACACAGGUGGUCAGGUAGAGAAUACCAAGGCGCUUGAGAGAACCCGGGUGAAGGAACUAGGCAAAAUGGUGCCGUAACUUCGGGAGAAGGCACGCUGAUAUGUAGGUGAAGUGACUUGCUCGUGGAGCUGAAAUCAGUCGAAGAUACCAGCUGGCUGCAACUGUUUAUUAAAAACACAGCACUGUGCAAACACGAAAGUGGACGUAUACGGUGUGACGCCUGCCCGGUGCCGGAAGGUUAAUUGAUGGGGUUAUCCUCGCGGAGAAGCUCUUGAUCGAAGCCCCGGUAAACGGCGGCCGUAACUAUAACGGUCCUAAGGUAGCGAAAUUCCUUGUCGGGUAAGUUCCGACCUGCACGAAUGGCGUAAUGAUGGCCAGGCUGUCUCCACCCGGGACUCAGUGAAAUUGAACUCGCUGUGAAGAUGCAGUGUACCCGCGGCAAGACGGAAAGACCCCGUGAACCUUUACUAU
Molecule: ribosomal RNA, 1883 nt
Filed under: Klebsiella indica
Lineage: Bacteria; Pseudomonadati; Pseudomonadota; Gammaproteobacteria; Enterobacterales; Enterobacteriaceae
Description: Bacterial large subunit ribosomal RNA
Rfam family: Bacterial large subunit ribosomal RNA
Source: Rfam by way of RNAcentral